This 18-nucleotide ribosomal RNA is filed under the name Thanatephorus cucumeris. Its description in RNAcentral is "partial 18S ribosomal RNA". The record is from RNAcentral. Lineage: Eukaryota; Fungi; Basidiomycota; Agaricomycetes; Cantharellales; Ceratobasidiaceae.
GGAUCCUUAUUAGAUUUA